This 465-nucleotide ribosomal RNA is filed under the name Vreelandella stevensii. RNAcentral describes it as "partial 16S ribosomal RNA". It matches the Rfam family "Bacterial small subunit ribosomal RNA", at positions 338 to 795 of the family's 1533-position model. Lineage: Bacteria; Pseudomonadati; Pseudomonadota; Gammaproteobacteria; Oceanospirillales; Halomonadaceae. The record is from RNAcentral.
CCUACGGGGGGCUGCAGUGGGGAAUAUUGGACAAUGGGCGAAAGCCUGAUCCAGCCAUGCCGCGUGUGUGAAGAAGGCCUUCGGGUUGUAAAGCACUUUCAGUGGGGAAGAAAGCCUUGGGGCUAAUACCCUCGAGGAAGGACAUCACCCACAGAAGAAGCACCGGCUAACUCCGUGCCAGCAGCCGCGGUAAUACGGAGGGUGCGAGCGUUAAUCGGAAUUACUGGGCGUAAAGCGCGCGUAGGCGGUCUGAUAAGCCGGUUGUGAAAGCCCCGGGCUCAACCUGGGAACGGCAUCCGGAACUGUCAGGCUAGAGUGCAGGAGAGGAAGGUAGAAUUCCCGGUGUAGCGGUGAAAUGCGUAGAGAUCGGGAGGAAUACCAGUGGCGAAGGCGGCCUUCUGGACUGACACUGACGCUGAGGUGCGAAAGCGUUGGUAGCAAACAGGAUUAGAUACCCCUGUAGUC